RNAcentral lists this ribosomal RNA (422 nucleotides) under uncultured bacterium. RNAcentral's name for it is "bacterial SSU rRNA". It matches the Rfam family "Bacterial small subunit ribosomal RNA", at positions 355 to 774 of the family's 1533-position model. The record is from RNAcentral.
UGAGGAAUAUUGGGCAAUGCCCGCAAGGGUGACCCAGCAACGCCGCGUGGAGGAUGAAUGUCGUAAGAUUGUAAACUCCUGUUAGAGGGGAAGAAUAGUACCGGUUGGACCGGUAUAUGACUGUACCCUCAGAGAAAGCCCCGGCUAACUACGUGCCAGCAGCCGCGGUAAUACGUAGGGGGCAAGCGUUGUCCGGAUUUACUGGGUGUAAAGGGCGCGCAGGCGGGAUAAAAAGUCAGUGGUGAAAUCCUACAGCUUAACUGUAGAACUGCCUUAGAUACUUUUAUUCUUGAGUUCGGGAGAGAGAGACGGAAUUCCAGGUGUAGUGGUGAAGUACGUAGAUAUCUGGAAGAACACCAGUUGCGAAGGCGGUCUCUUGGUCCGACACUGACGCUGAGGCGCGAAAGCGUGGGGAGCAAACA